AGAGUUUGAUCCUGGCUCAGAACGAACGCUGGCGGCGUGCCUAACACAUGCAAGUCGAACGGAAUUGAGGUGCUUGCACUUCAAUUUAGUGGCGCACGGGUGAGUAACGCGUAGAUAAUCUGCCUGAUGAUCUGGGAUAACACUUCGAAAGAGGUGCUAAUACCGGAUAAGCCCACGGAGUCUUUGGACUCUGCGGGAAAAGGGGGGGACCUUCGGGCCUUCUGUCAUCAGAUGAGUCUGCGUACCAUUAGCUAGUUGGUAGGGUAAUGGCCUACCAAGGCUACGAUGGUUAGCUGGUCUGAGAGGAUGAUCAGCCACACUGGAACUGAGACACGGUCCAGACUCCUACGGGAGGCAGCAGUGGGGAAUAUUGGUCAAUGGGCGCAAGCCUGAACCAGCCAUGUCGCGUGCAGGACGACGGCCCUACCGGUUGUAAACUGCUUUUGUACGGGAAGAAAAAACGCCACGUGUGGCGUCUUGCCGGUACCGUACGAAUAAGGAUCGGCUAACUCCGUGCCAGCAGCCGCGGUAAUACGGAGGAUCCGAGCGUUAUCCGGAUUUAUUGGGUUUAAAGGGUGCGUAGGCGGGCUGUUAAGUCAGCGGUGAAAGUUUGGCGCUCAACGUUAAAAUUGCCGUUGAUACUGGAGGCCUUGAGUACGGUUGAGGUAGGCGGAAUGUGGUGUGUAGCGGUGAAAUGCUUAGAUAUGCCACAGAACACCGAUUGCGUAGGCAGCUUACUAAAGCGUAACUGACGCUGAGGCACGAAAGCGUGGGGAUCAAACAGGAUUAGAUACCCUGGUAGUCC
RNAcentral lists this ribosomal RNA (805 nucleotides) under uncultured bacterium. RNAcentral describes it as "bacterial SSU rRNA". It matches the Rfam family "Bacterial small subunit ribosomal RNA", at positions 8 to 796 of the family's 1533-position model. The record is from RNAcentral.